UGGGGAAUCUUGCGCAAUGGGGGAAACCCUGACGCAGCGACGCCGCGUGCGGGAUGAAGGCCUUCGGGUUGUAAACCGCUUUCAGCAGGGACGAGGCCUUAUGGUGACGGUAUCUGCAGAAGAAGCUCCGGCUAAAUACGUGCCAGCAGCCGCGGUAAUACGUAUGGAGCAAGCGUUAUCCGGAUUCAUUGGGCGUAAAGCGCUCGUAGGCGGUCUGUUAGGUCGGCAAGUUAAAUCCGGGGGCUCAACCCCCGUCCGCUUCCGAUACCGGCAUACUUGAGUUGGGUAGGGGAAGGUGGAAUUCCUAGGGUAGCGGUGGAAUGCGCAGAUAUUAGGAAGAACACCGGUGGCGGAGACAGCCUUCUGGGCCAUAACUGACGCUGAGAAGCGAAAGCUAGGGGAGCGAACAGG
Molecule: ribosomal RNA, 411 nt
Filed under: Actinomycetes bacterium
Lineage: Bacteria; Bacillati; Actinomycetota; Actinomycetes
Description: Actinobacteria bacterium partial 16S ribosomal RNA
Rfam family: Bacterial small subunit ribosomal RNA
Source: RNAcentral